This 488-nucleotide ribosomal RNA is filed under the name uncultured compost bacterium. Its description in RNAcentral is "bacterial SSU rRNA". It matches the Rfam family "Bacterial small subunit ribosomal RNA", at positions 1000 to 1490 of the family's 1533-position model. The record is from RNAcentral.
GUAGAAAUAUAGACUUCCCGCAAGGGACCGCUAUGGAGGUGCUGCAUGGCUGUCGUCAGCUCGUGUCGUGAGAUGUUGGGUUAAGUCCCGCAACGAGCGCAACCUUCGUCCUGUGUUGCUACCCGUAAGGUGCACUCGCAGGAGACUGCCGGCGAUAAGCUGGAGGAAGGUGGGGAUGACGUCAAGUCAUCAUGGCCUUUAUGUCCAGGGCUACACACGUGCUACAAUGGGCGGUACAAUGCGUUCCUAAACCGCGAGGUGGAGGCAAUCGCAAAAAACCGUUCUCAGUUCGGAUCGCAGGCUGCAACUCGCCUGCGUGAAGCUGGAAUCGCUAGUAAUGGCGCAUCAGCAUGGCGCCGUGAAUACGUUCCCGGGCCUUGUACACACCGCCCGUCACAUCACGAAAGUGGAUUGUACUAGAAGUCUGUAGGCUAACCCGCAAGGGAGGCAGCGGCCCAAGGUAUGAUUCAUGAUUGGGGGAAGUCGUA